ACAUAGCAAGUUGGAAAAAUACAAGAAGGCCUCAAAAGCUCUCAAGAAAAGUUGGAAGAAACCUACACUUCAUUGGCCCAAGUUUCAAGUUCAAAGAAUUCAAGUUGGAGGAGCAAAUUUAAAGAAAGAUUCAAAAGAAUAGUCCUCGAGUCGACUCCUGGAAGUUUAGAGUCGACUCUGGCACUCUGGAGUUUCAAGGAACAGUGCUCGAGUCGACUCCGGGACUCUACGAGUCGACUCCG
RNAcentral lists this long non-coding RNA (242 nucleotides) under Phoenix dactylifera (date palm). RNAcentral describes it as "long non-coding RNA (PDAC_LNC007184)". The record is from RNAcentral. Lineage: Eukaryota; Viridiplantae; Streptophyta; Magnoliopsida; Arecales; Arecaceae.